Molecule: long non-coding RNA, 3495 nt
Organism: Xiphophorus couchianus (Monterrey platyfish)
Lineage: Eukaryota; Metazoa; Chordata; Actinopteri; Cyprinodontiformes; Poeciliidae
Exons: 2
Source: RefSeq, a predicted model, not a curated record
AUUAUUGUUUUUUAACGUAUAUAUUUUUCUUCCUAAACGUCGUUUUAAAGUUGCAAAUAUUUGUUUAAAGCUUCGAUUACGAUUUUAAACUACAGGCGUAAAAUAUAACUGAAAAAUAAAUAAAUAAUAAUAAUAAUAAUAAUAAUAAUAAUAAUAACUGCGGAAAGAUAAGCGGCACCUGACGUGAAUCCGGGGGGAGAUUUUUUUUUUUCUUCUUUUUUCCCUGAAGAAGGUCGAGCGGUGGAGCGGUGACUGCCAUGACAGCACAUCCUGUUAAUAACCACGUCACCCUAAUUAGUAAAGUAAUUAUGAGGCGCUAAUGAGCGUUCAGAGGCAGUAGGAAAUUCAGCACUUUUCGCCUCGUUCCGACGUGGAUUUGAAGGAUGUUGAACGGAGGAUUUAAAAAAAAAAAGAAAGAAGAAGAAGCUGACAGUCUGUAGAGCAGCGCGGCUCUCACUGCUCAGGAAACGCAAACAUGGAAUUUCUUGAAUUCUACUUCUACUGUUUCUGCCGAAUUUCAGGAAAAAUAUGGAUGAAUUAAUUCCGGGUUUUUUCUAGGCUUUUAUUAUUAUUAUUAUUAUUAUUAUUAUUAUUAUUAUUAUUAUUAUUAUUGCAGUAACCAUCGUUGUGUUUUUCCUCCAGCAGGUUCGCAGAGGAGAAAUGGAGCCUUUCAUUGCUGGAGGUAAGAAGCUGAAUCUCGGAUUUGAAGGAACAUUUUCAGCUCUUCAGUCCUAAAACUUUCCAACCAAGUCGGAGAAUCAGCCUGUUACAGCAACAACACCAACAUAUUCAAUGUUGUUUUGCCUUUUAUUUCAGAGUGUUUGUGUUGUCGGGGUCACCAGAGCGACAAACAGCUCAGGGCCGGCUAUACAAGGAUGGGGGCCCCUGGGCUGGAGCCGGUUUUGGUGCCACACUGCUCUACUGAUACAAAUUACAAUACAUCUAUAGGUAGUCCCAUACAGGAAAUGAUGCAUGGUGUGUUUAAUAUGUUAAGCAGUAGUUCCAUAAUCUUCCCCAAAAAAAUACUAACACUCUUAACUACUUUAGUAUUGUAUAUAUUUAUAAAAAUUCAAAAAAUAUCAAUGAAAUUCAUCUGAUAUGCACUUAUGAGUUUUAUAUAAAGGACAAUGCAAACACAUAUAUAACAAAAAAGAAAGAAAAAAAAAGAAGAAGAAGAAUUAGGCACUUUGGGCUGCAUUUGUAUUAAUCUCCCUUUUACUCUGAUGCCCCUAAAUUCAGAAGUUCUGUGUGAAGUUUGAGCUCACAGAUGCUCCGUGAAGCUGUGAAGAGGUUUGUAAGACAACAGAGAAUAAUAAGUUGUCAUGUUUUAAAAAAAGGUAAAUAAAGUAAGUUUGACAAAAUGUAUUCAAUUACAUGCAACAAAUUAAGUGAAUCUUUUUUAAAGGUGCAGCUCUACUCUCUCUUUCCAGUGUGCGCAUGUUUCCACAUGAGAUACUGAUGCACGCUACAUUCAUGGAGGGAAUGUAACACCCGCGUUAGGUUGUAUCAUUUCUGGGCUGCUAAAAAUAAGCACCUUAGCAUAUUUUUAACUAUUUACCGCCACAACAAAAUAUUCAAAGAAUCCCAAAUGUUGAGCUUCUCUCCUCCUGCUGUCAGAGGAGCAGGAUCAGAGAUGCGCAGGAAGUGGAGAACACAUUGAUUCGAGCACGCUCCAAACACGGGCCGGCCCUGACAAGGUUGUUAUAACAGUCGGUGGGGUCUAUACAAUCGCUUAAUCACCAAAGCUGUCAGUCAAACGGGGGCCGCUGCUGGCUCCAUGCAUGGCUGCGAGCGGCGUUCCACUAGCAGCCUCCCUGAGUGAUUGAUCCGUGCUGAUGGCAUCGCAGAAAUAAUUACAAGUCGUCUCCUGAUGUGUGAUUCCGCAGCACGUUCACGCUUCACGAAGGUAAUCGGGAGGGAUCAGGAGGGGUCAGUGCCAUUUCCUAUUACCUGGAGUCCGAGCAACAGAAAAAAAAGGAAAAAAAAGGGUAAAACAAUGUGAGCAGAGUGAGGGGGGGGGGGAUGUGUGGGGGAGGUAGAGAGGUUUGGGUGCGCUUUGUCAACGAGUUCUGACGUGAUUUUUGUCCAAUCUCAAGCACUUAGAGGCUAAAAGCUGAACAUACUGCAGCAAACUGACGGAAUCCGACGUUCUCAAACGGGGAUUUUAAAUAAUCGGCUUCAUUUAGUUGAUUCCCAUCACAAUAAAUCGACUGUUAGACGCCAUGUUGGGAGACGGUCAAGUUUAGGGCCGGUUUAAAGUCGCAGGAUUAAACUUUGUGUGCUGCACCAAAUAAUAAAUAAGGAAAUCAAUAUAUUAAUCAAAGCCUUAAUAACCUUACUGAAGGUUAGGUUGCAAUAACCUUACUGAGAGUUAUUGCAGUAUAAAUUUAUCUCAUGAGCAGACGUUAAAGUCAACAUGAAAAAAUACAUCAUUAGAUUUAUGUGAGGACAAUAAACAGGAAACCUAAAUUAAAAAAAAUCUCUUCUAUAUAUGACAUCUGGUCUGACGUCCUGUAACAAGCCCCUGAUUGGUCGAAAUGUGUGUACUUUUGCAUAUUUUUGCGCUUCCAUUUUAUUUUGUACGAGUUAAAAUUUUCAAGUCUGACGUUGGGCAGGAAGAGGACAAAAUGUCCGUAGAAUUUAUAACCCAGAGAAGGAAAAUCUGAACUUUUUGAUCUGGCCCCGACCUCAAAAUCCAAUAUGGCCGCCCCGCAUGGAAAAAAACUUGAUCUGCGCUUCUGACGUUUUGUUUGUCUCUUUGAAUCUGAUGCACAGUUUGAUACCUGUGGUUAUUGUACACACCAAAAACAACAAAAGAUCAGGAUGCAGAAAUCAACCGGCAAGUGAUUGAGGCUGGCCAAUUUUUUUCCCCCUGUGACUCGCUGACCGAAAAACCUGUUGGGUUUCUCUUUGUCUCUAAGACGGAAAGUUCCCACCCUUUAUGGCCCAUAAAUGCAUCACUGAAUGUCAUGAUGUUGUUAGGUUAAUAAAAAUGUCAGAGAGUUUUGCUUUUAUCCAUGAAUGGGGCUGAUCUUUCAAUCCUUGCUUUCUGUUACGGAGGAAAUACAUUUCUUUCUUUUAUGUUCAGUGUUUGUUAAAACUACCGAAUAAAUACACGUGUUGCAGAAAUAGUUUGUACUUUCUCCAGCGUCGCCCUCCAAACCCGUUCCUCUGUGUUUCAGAUAUCUCCUCCAACACACCUGAGUUCACUGACUGCAAGCGACAAAAGCAGCUGAUGGUGUCAUCCAGGACUUGUCGCCAUGGAAUAUCGUCUCCUCUCCUUGAAAAUGUAGCUGCUAGCGUGUCAUGAUCGUCAUGAAGCUGUCGUUCAACAACAGUCUUCAGUCAGAGGCCUCCCCAGAUUUGUUGCAAAACUGACUGCUAGCAGAAAUCCUUGUGGUCUACAGAAUCACCGUAGACCAGAGGCUCCUCCAAGACACUUGUUUGAUGAGCUUAAUGUUCCCUCUGUGAUAAAUAAAUUAUGUUUCAAUUGAA